Molecule: ribosomal RNA, 254 nt
Filed under: uncultured bacterium
Lineage: Bacteria
Description: partial 16S ribosomal RNA
Rfam family: Bacterial small subunit ribosomal RNA
Source: RNAcentral
UACGGAGGGGGCCAGCGUUGUUCGGAAUCAUUGGGCGUAAAGGGCGCGUAGGCGGCCACGCAAGUCGGAUGUGAAAUCCCUCGGCUCAACCGAGGAACUGCAUCCGAAACUGCGAGGCUCGAGUCCUGGAGAGGGUAGUGGAAUUCCCAGUGUAGCGGUGAAAUGCGUAGAUACUGGGAGGAACACCGGUGGCGAAGGCGGCUACCUGGACAGGUACUGACGCUGAUGCGCGAAAGCCAGGGGGAGCAAACAGG